This 60-nucleotide transfer RNA is filed under the name Ictidomys tridecemlineatus (thirteen-lined ground squirrel). Its description in RNAcentral is "Spermophilus tridecemlineatus (thirteen-lined ground squirrel) tRNA". Lineage: Eukaryota; Metazoa; Chordata; Mammalia; Rodentia; Sciuridae. The record is from Rfam by way of RNAcentral.
AUAGCUCAGUGGUAGAGUGCUUGCCUAGCAUGCACGAGGCCCUGGGUUUCAAUCCCCAGU